CUGGGCACAAACACAGACCAGAUGACUUCAUUCCACAAAGACUACCAACCCUGUCAUCCAAAGCAGCCGUUGAGCACCAUGGUGACAGUAAACAAUAGAACCCUGGUGUUGUUUGAGCAGAAAUAAUGGUCUUUCUGGUCUUUCUUUUCCCUUAGAAUUGCCAGCACCUACCUGCCCUGCUCCUGUGCCUUUCAUGGCAACCCAACAAAUGUAGUAAGAACUCUGCAAUCAUGACUUGAAGGAUCUAGCAGUGAAGGACCAUGUUCUGCCUGGAAGCAUCCAGGCUGUCAACUGAAGAUCCUGAAUUUCACAGAUAGUGAAGCAGAGGCUUAUGGGCAGCUGAAGAUUGCCAGGAGAGAAGAAGAGGCAGCAGGGAACAAAGAGGCAGCCAUGCAAAGAAAGGCAGGUUUCUUACCUGUAACUGUAGUUCUUUGAGUGGUCUUCUGUGCAUUCACACAAGGGUUUGCACCUGCACAGAGCCAACAUCUGGAUAUUUCUAGAGCUUUACCAUAUUAGGAAAAAAGAGCGGGAAACACGGCUCCCCCAUCUGACAGACUACCACACUCCAUCAGUCCGAGCGACCACCGCAGCUAAGAGCAGAGGCCAUAAUUAGCCAAAGCAAUCUUCCUUACCUGGAUGGAGGGUGCAACCAAAGAGGAAGGAGAAUCACUGAAAGGCAGACUGGAGGUCAGAAGCAAACACCGCCUGGGACUUGGAGUGGAUGUCCAGCUCAUAAUGUCCGACAAAUGUUGUUGGAUGGGACCAUGUAGCAGCCUUACAGAUGUCCAAGAUUGAAACACUCCUGUAAAAAGCCAUUAAAAACUCCUGUAAAAAAGCCAUUAAACACUCCUGUAAAAAGCCAUGUAAAAAGGUUGCCAUUGCUCGAGUGGAAUGUGCCCUGAU
Hemicordylus capensis (graceful crag lizard) is the source of this 903-nucleotide long non-coding RNA. RefSeq lists it as uncharacterized. The record is from RefSeq and is a predicted model, not a curated record. The transcript is spliced from 4 exons. Lineage: Eukaryota; Metazoa; Chordata; Lepidosauria; Squamata; Cordylidae.